Molecule: ribosomal RNA, 253 nt
Filed under: uncultured bacterium
Lineage: Bacteria
Description: partial 16S ribosomal RNA
Rfam family: Bacterial small subunit ribosomal RNA
Source: RNAcentral
UACGGAGGGGGGCUAGCGUUGUUCGGAAUUACUGGGCGUAAAGCGCACGUAGGCGGCUUUGUAAGUUAGAGGUGAAAGCCCGGGGCUCAACUCCGGAAUUGCCUUAAGACUGCAUCGCUAGAAUUGUGGAGAGGUAAGUGGAAUUCCGAGUGUAGAGGUGAAAUUCGUAGAUAUUCGGAAGAACACCAGUGGCGAAGGCGACUUACUGGACACAUAUUGACGCUGAGGUGCGAAAGCGUGGGGAGCAAACAGG